AACGUAGGUUCCGAGCGUUAUCCGGAUUUACUGGGCGUAAAGCGCGUUCAGGCGGUUUGGCAAGUCGGGCAUGAAAUCUCUCGGCUCAACCGGGAGAGGUUGUCCGAUACUGCUGGACUUGAGGGCAGUAGAGGGUGGUGGAAUUCCGGGUGUAGUGGUGAAAUGCGUAGAUAUCCGGAGGAACACCAGUGGCGAAGGCGACAUACUGGUUCGUUACUGACGCUGAGGCUCGAAAGCGUGGGGAGCAAACAGG
RNAcentral lists this ribosomal RNA (253 nucleotides) under uncultured bacterium. Its description in RNAcentral is "partial 16S ribosomal RNA". It matches the Rfam family "Bacterial small subunit ribosomal RNA", at positions 524 to 776 of the family's 1533-position model. The record is from RNAcentral.